This 491-nucleotide ribosomal RNA is filed under the name uncultured bacterium. RNAcentral's name for it is "partial 16S ribosomal RNA". It matches the Rfam family "Bacterial small subunit ribosomal RNA", at positions 28 to 507 of the family's 1533-position model. The record is from RNAcentral.
GAUGAACGCUGGCUACAGGCUUAACACAUGCAAGUCGAGGGGAAACGACGGGGAAGCUUGCUUCCCCGGGCGUCGACCGGCGCACGGGUGAGUAACGCGUAUCCAACCUGCCUCUGACUGAGGGAUAACCCGUCGAAAGUCGGCCUAAUACCUCAUGGUAUCGUCUGCGGGCAUCCAACGACGAUUAAAGAUUUCAUCGGUCAGGGAUGGGGAUGCGUCUGAUUAGCUUGUUGGCGGGGUAACGGCCCACCAAGGCUACGAUCAGUAGGGGUUCUGAGAGGAAGGUCCCCCACAUUGGAACUGAGACACGGUCCAAACUCCUACGGGAGGAAGCAGUGAGGAAUAUUGGUCAAUGGGCGAGAGCCUGAACCAGCCAAGUAGCGUGCAGGAAGACGGCCCUAUGGGUUGUAAACUGCUUUUAUGCGGGGAUAAAGUGAGGGACGUGUCCCUCAUUGCAGGUACCGCAUGAAUAAGGACCGGCUAAUUCCGUG